This 301-nucleotide ribosomal RNA is filed under the name uncultured bacterium. RNAcentral describes it as "partial 16S ribosomal RNA". It matches the Rfam family "Bacterial small subunit ribosomal RNA", at positions 509 to 809 of the family's 1533-position model. The record is from RNAcentral.
CAGUCGCCGCGGGAAUACGGAGGGAGCUAGCGUUGUUCGGAAUUACUGGGCGUAAAGCGCACGUAGGCGGCUUUGUAAGUUAGAGGUGAAAGCCUGGAGCUCAACUCCAGAACUGCCUUUAAGACUGCAUCGCUUGAAUCCAGGAGAGGUGAGUGGAAUUCCGAGUGUAGAGGUGAAAUUCGUAGAUAUUCGGAAGAACACCAGUGGCGAAGGCGGCUCACUGGACUGGUAUUGACGCUGAGGUGCGAAAGCGUGGGGAGCAAACAGGAUUAGAUACCCGCGUAGUCCUGUCUCUUAUACA